GUGUUAGACUAACUAUCUGUUUGUCUUAUAGUAACAGCCACUCUCCUGUGAGAUGUUCUUUUGAAGAUCACAAUACAUCUACUCCUGUUGCUAAAGCAACUAAGAACAAGAGCAAGGAUUCAGUUGAUAGUUUGAGGUUGACAAAGACAUGCUGUGCCAGUUGCAGAUGUGGGGCUUAUUUCUUUGCUACGGGGCUUAUCUAUUUCAGCAAGUGGAAUCUGUGAUAUUAAUUGCAAAACUCUCUGGUUCUACAAGAGUUCAAAACUUAUUAGGAGGGAGCAUUUACACUGGUAACAACGUUAGACCAUGCAACUGAAACACUGCACAAGUAAAUCUACUAUGCGAUCUUGAACACUUGUUUCCAGGACUUUCAUACCUCAGUGACACAAGCUUUGUCUCACUAACAUACAACAACUCCUCCAGUUGUAUUGCUUAUUAGGGCUAUUUAAGCUUAUACGGUAACUUAAUUAAAAUAUAAUUCAUAUUUCUAAAAUAUUUAAAAUAAAACUUG
Corticium candelabrum is the source of this 511-nucleotide long non-coding RNA. RefSeq lists it as uncharacterized. Lineage: Eukaryota; Metazoa; Porifera; Homoscleromorpha; Homosclerophorida; Plakinidae. The transcript has 3 exons. The record is from RefSeq and is a predicted model, not a curated record.